ACUUUGAAGCUACAUUUAAUAUUUUCUCCAAGUACAAAAGAAAAUUUAAUCGCCAAAUUAUAAAUCGAGGCUAAGGUAUUGCCAAAUGGCUGUGAGAAUAAUAUAAAAAGGGUUUCGUUUGUCUGUUUGCUUUUUCUUUUUGUUGUGUUGUGUUUUGUUUUGUUUUAGCUUCUGCACACGCAUGGUCUGGCAAGUCCGGCAGUGAAAAUUUAAAGAACACAUCUCAUAUCUGAAGAAGUCUGCCCUUGGCAAGGUAAAGGCAACACCUGACUGAUAUAUUGGCUUCCCACUGAGGUGUCGCAUUGAAGCAAAAAAGUUUCAUGCAUUUGCCUCAGUCAGUAUUGCUGUAAACCUAAACCUCACGGAAGGCUAUUAUAGCAUCGGGAACAGAUGGUGAAGAUUUCCAUAAAACAGAAAGGGAAACAGACUUGUCUGAAGUGAGGUCACUAUUCUCUUUCAUGAGGACUCUACUCUCGUGACCUAAUCACCUCCCAAAGGCCCUGCCUCCCAAUUCCAUCAGGAGAACAUGAAAUGAGAGCACAUGGUCCCUUUCUAUGAACUGCAGGUACCUUCAUAACAAAGCAAAAGUCACAAUCUUAUACCCAGAAGCAAUUGCCAGAAUGCUUCAGUUGGACUAGGAAGAAUCAGAACUUAUUUCUAUUAAUUCGAUCUAUGGGCAAAUCCAUCACCUAAUAUUGCUGCAGCAAACAUGAAGGGAGCUGGAAGAGUAUAUGAGCAGGCUCUGUUUUUGAGGAGAGUAACACUAAAAAGCCCUGGACUUCAUUUUGGACACCUUCAGAUGCAUCAUGAUGAUUCAGAUGACGAUUUAGGACCCACGUCAACCUUUUGGCUUCUGCCUUGUGAAUAGCUACCGAAGAUGUGGGAUUAAGAGCUGCCAAGCCACAAUCCUGGAUACGUUGCUUACACUGCUGCCAUCACAUAUCAUAUCCAGCUCAAGGGAGAAAGCCUGGACUAUAAGAUGAGAUUGCUCUGAGAUCAGGGGUAGAAGACAAGGAUGUAAAGAGCAUUUGGAGCCACUUGUUCCUUCCCAACCCAUCGCAGCUACAUAAAUGACAUUUGUUCAAGAGCCCGGUGUUAAGAGUGCUGAGUUUUGGGGCGCCUGGAUGGCUCAGUCGGUCGAGUGUCCGACUCUUGAUUUUGGCUCAGGUCACGAUCCC
Molecule: long non-coding RNA, 1178 nt
Organism: Leopardus geoffroyi (Geoffroy's cat)
Lineage: Eukaryota; Metazoa; Chordata; Mammalia; Carnivora; Felidae
Exons: 4
Source: RefSeq, a predicted model, not a curated record